RNAcentral lists this long non-coding RNA (1139 nucleotides) under Homo sapiens (human). RNAcentral describes it as "HSALNT0360288". The record is from RNAcentral. Lineage: Eukaryota; Metazoa; Chordata; Mammalia; Primates; Hominidae.
CUGAUAGCAGGUUCUGUGUAACUUGAUGGGGUUCACUAAUUAUUGUCUGGAGUGCUGCAUUUUGGGGUGCCUGGCUGUGAAGUAGAACGGCAGUCCAAAGACCCAUGAUGACCAAAAUAAGAAGGGUUAUUUACAGACUAAAUGAGACAGUGUAUAUCUAACAUUGCUUUGUGGAUGCUAUCAAGUGCUGGCAAAUGUGUGGGAGAAUGAAUGGAAAACUUCAUCAAUUUCUAGGAUAGUAAAUUGGUGCUGCUAUUUUGGAGAGCAAUUUGUCAGCCUUCAGGGGAAACUGAAUAUGCACAUCCUCUAAGACCCAGCAGUUUCACUUCAAAGAAAAUUUCUUAUAUGCACAGAGACUUGUACAAGGAUAUUUAUCACAGCACUGUUUGUAAUAACAAAGGGCUGGAAAUAAACCAAAUGGCCAAUGAUAAGAAUUGAUAAAUGUGGUAAAUGCCUAAAAUAGAAUGUCACACAGCAGUUAAAAAAUCAUUUAUUCACUAAUUAAGCAAAGGACAAAAAGCCUCAACAGAAAAAAAAAGACAAAAGCCUUGAAUAGUCACUUUGCCAAAUGUUCAAUACACGUACAAAAACAUGGGCAAGUUCAUUGGUUGUCAAGGAAGUUCGAAUUAAAGCCACAUUUUGCAGGUACAACACUGGCACAAGUUUAAGUCUGAUGAUACCAAGUCUUGGAGAAGGUUGAAGCUACUGGAAAACCUGCCCUCUGCUGGUGGGAGUGCAAAUUGCUCCAAGCUCUUUGGACAAUAAUUUGGCAUCCUCUAGUGAAGUUGAAGAUGUGUGUGCUUGAGACUCAGCAAUUCCCCUUUGUGACAUCAGGAUGCUCCCGCACAUAUGCUUAAGAACAUUCAUGCCAGCUUUGUUUAUAUAACAAAAACGUGGAAAUAACCCAAAUGUCUGAGGAUGGGGAAUGGACAAAUAAUGGUUCAUAGUUAUGAAAAUGAAUACACAACAGCUACAAGCAUCUACUGGAAUGAAUCUCACAUGCAUUGUGUUGUAGAAGAAUAUGUAUAAUUCCAUUUAUGUAAAGUUUAAAAGCAUGCACAACUAAAUGAUAUGUUAUUUAUGAGUAUAUGACAUAUAUGAUAAAGGCAAAGAAUAAAUAAAGUAAGGAAAGGUAAGAC